GAGAGAGAGAGUGAGCAAUGGCGGCGGAGCAGAGCUCGGAUUCCCCCGUUGGAUUCGUGAAGAGGCACUUUGAGGAGGUUCGCGACCACUGGAGGAGCAACUUCGCUUUCCUUGACUACUACAAGAAGACCCUCGGCCGCAAGGAUCCUCUCCCGAAAUGGACUGACGCCGACGUCGAGGAGUUCAUCGCCUCCGACCCCGUCUACGGCCCCCAGCUGAAGGCCCUUAGGGAAUCGAGGAAGUAUGCCAUUGCUGGGGCUGCUAUUGGUGCAGCACAUUUGGGGGGAGUCUCUUGGAAAUAUUCGAAGAGCCCACACGGUGUGGUGUUAGCUACUGGAUUUGGCGCGCUGUGUGGUGGUAUCUUUGGUAUGGAAGUUGCAGAACACACGAAGCAGUUAUACAAGAUUGAUAAACAGGGUGCUAACCUGAGGUUUCUUUACUGGUGGGAGGACAAAACUCAAGGAAAUCGUCAGUGAAGAAAACUUUACCAGGGUGCUCGACGGUUCCAUGAAUUGAUGGGACAAUAUAUGUGAAGCCUUGUCUCAAUUACUGUGUGGAUUGUGCUUCCGUUUUAAUAAAGUCAAACUCAAAGUACCUUGUUCCAAGUUUUUUCCCAGACUCAAAUUUCAGUGUUCUGCUUGUGUUUUUGAUUGUUACAAUUCAGCUGUUGUAUUAGAAAUUGCUAAGAAUUCUCUUGGCUGCCAU
Molecule: unclassified non-coding RNA, 705 nt
Filed under: Hevea brasiliensis (rubber tree)
Lineage: Eukaryota; Viridiplantae; Streptophyta; Magnoliopsida; Malpighiales; Euphorbiaceae
Source: RNAcentral